CAAGCUUCAAAUACAAUAUGUUUCAGGAUGGUUGCUGGAAAAAUGAAAAAUAAAAAAUAUAAAAACAGGCCCUCAGAGGUAUUUCAACCAGAGAAGCUUCUUGUAAAUGGAACAACAACAACAAAAAGACAUAUUAUUUGAAAGGAAUCUCUUUUUUUGUGUUUUAAUCUGGAAUAGAAAAAACAGUUUUGAAAUGUACAGUCCAACAUUUUUCAAGUAAAAACAAACCAAACCAACAGAUAAAGGAAAACAACCAAAAAAACCAACAGCCUGCUAGCCCAGAAUAAAGACUUUCUGAAAAUGGGAUAAUGAUGAAAGAGGCUCCAAUUGAAA
Molecule: long non-coding RNA, 333 nt
Filed under: Gallus gallus (chicken)
Lineage: Eukaryota; Metazoa; Chordata; Aves; Galliformes; Phasianidae
Description: lncRNA (ENSGALG00010008620.1)
Source: RNAcentral